Molecule: long non-coding RNA, 1740 nt
Organism: Ursus americanus (American black bear)
Lineage: Eukaryota; Metazoa; Chordata; Mammalia; Carnivora; Ursidae
Source: Ensembl
CUGGUUAGGCCGCAGGUCCAUGGGGACCACCUGUGAGAAAAGCGGGUCUGACACCCCCAUGUGUGUACAGAAUGGCACCAUUUCAUAGGGAAACACCAAGCGCCAAGAGCACUGGCUGCCUCUGGGAGAGGAGUUUUCCACUGUACCUUUCGCAUUUUAAGCCACGUGGUUACAACAGUCCCUAAACAUAGUCAGAAAAAACAGGAUGGGAUAGACAGCAACAGCAGCAGAAAUGGGGGAGCGUCCGGGGGUGCACAGGGUGGCACCCGCGUGGCUGGUGUGCAGCCUGGGGCUGUGGCAGGCUCUGGGCCAGGACCCAUGGACCCCUUUGGUUGCCCCACCAGGAAAACGUGGCAGGAGCUGAGCCAGCAACAUGUUCCGUGUGCAGACCUGGGCCUGGCUGUGCAAGGCACGAUCCAGCACAUUGAGGACCACAGCCGGGACAACCUCCUGCCUCGAGUCAGGGCCUUGUGCCAGAGAUCUGAGCACCUGGGAAGACCCAGAGAUGUCAUGCCCUCCCACGAUGGCCUACAUACUGCCUUGUCUCACCCUGGGCUGUGGCAGACAUUACUAAUCAACCCCAGCAUUCUGUUCUGCUCUGGUCCGUGUGGAGCCGCAGGGCCCUUCUCUACACAGAGCUCCAGGCUGCCACCGCUCGCGGAUCGGACUUGGCACCGUGUUUUACGGAUGAUGCUCAGGAGGCUGCUUCGUGUAGAGGGGGCGCUGGAGGGCUGGGUCGUAGUGGGCGUGGGACUUGCUCAGGUCCCCUGGCUAAACACCGCAUGGGCUGGCCUUGCCCCUCUGCCUGUCCCCUCUGGCGUCCACUGAGAACUGAGCAGGCCCUUGUCUCAUGUCUUGGGAGUCCGAUCCGGAGGGAGAAAGCAUCAAGAGUCUGCUAAGGGGCCACUUUGGGAAGAAGGACAAGGAUCUGGUUGGAGCUCUGCAGUCCCUGUGGCAGGGCCUGGAGGGCUGCCCCAACAUGCACUCUACUCCCGCGUACAAGAGAAUCAUGCGAAGUUUGCACACGGUGGUCUUUGGGGAGUAUGUCCAGGCCCUGGCCACCCACCUCAGGACGCUGGAGCCUGGGACGUGGGAGGGCCUCGGGGUUCAGGUGGAGACAGACACCAGGAAGUUGCACGACAUCUUCACGAAGCAUGGGGUGAGCCGUGGCCGCUCGGGUAGGCUGAGUGCUGGGGGGCUUUAUUCUCCCUUUCCAGUUCUUGCCUCUCCUGGCCCCCUGCCUGGGCUAUGUGUGCUCUCCUCACUCAAACCACAAUCAGACCUGACAGCACUGGGCCUUGAAUCCCGCACACAAGGCUGGGGCCACCUGCUUUCACGGCAAAGGCUGAGGUGGGGGCAGGGAUGUUGCAAGCUGGGGGGAGGCAGCCCCCGCCCCCCCAGGCCAGGACAGCCUGUGGGAGCUCAGGAGGUAACAUCAGCAGGACCAGGAAGCUCUGACCAGCAGUGACGGCCCUGGGGCCUGAAGGGUAGACCCGGGGUGUGGGCCUGCAGGUGGGUGAGGAAAAUGGGUCCUCCCGAGAGAGGAGGCUGGGUACACAGGGCCUUGGCUCACCCACCAGCUGCUUUCUGCAGGACCUCGGCUUGACCAACCCACAGGAGUCCAUCAUGGGGAUCUUCCAGUCCCGUGAGAACAAGAGCAGGGAGACUGUGGAUGACUGGCUGGCCUCCUUCAGGGACAGAUUCCCAGGUUAUGUGAGGUAUGAGGGAGAAUAAAGGGCA